AUUGAACGCUGGCGGCAUGCCUUACACAUGCAAGUCGAACGGCAGCACGGGAGCAAUCCUGGUGGCGAGUGGCGAACGGGUGAGUAAAGUAUCGGAACGUGCCCAGUCGUGGGGGAUAACGUAGCGAAAGUUACGCUAAUACCGCAUACGAUCUAUGGAUGAAAGCGGGGGAUCGCAAGACCUCGCGCGAUUGGAGCGGCCGAUAUCAGAUUAGGUAGUUGGUGGGGUAAAGGCUACCCAAGCCGACGAUCUGUAGCUGGUCUGAGAGGACGACCAGCCACACUGGGACUGAGACACGGCCCAGACUCCUACGGGAGGCAGCAGUGGGGAAUUUUGGACAAUGGGCGAAAGCCUGAUCCAGCCAUGCCGCGUGCAGGAUGAAGGCCUUCGGGUUGUAAACUGCUUUUGUACGGAACGAAAAGGUUUGGCCUAAUAAGCUGAGCUCAUGACGGUACCGUAAGAAUAAGCACCGGCUAACUACGUGCCAGCAGCCGCCGUAA
RNAcentral lists this ribosomal RNA (500 nucleotides) under uncultured bacterium. Its description in RNAcentral is "partial 16S ribosomal RNA". It matches the Rfam family "Bacterial small subunit ribosomal RNA", at positions 30 to 523 of the family's 1533-position model. The record is from RNAcentral.